GACGAACGCUGGCGGCGUGCCUAAUACAUGCAAGUCGAACGCUUCUUUCCUCCCGAGUGCUUGCACUCAAUUGGAAAGAGGAGUGGCGGACGGGUGAGUAACACGUGGGUAACCUACCCAUCAGAGGGGGAUAACACUUGGAAACAGGUGCUAAUACCGCAUAACAACAAAAGCCGCAUGGUUUUUGUUUGAAAGAUGGCUUUGGCUAUCACUCUGGGAUGGACCUGCGGUGCAUUAGCUAGUUGGUAAGGUAACGGCUUACCAAGGCAAUGAUGCAUAGCCGAGUUGAGAGACUGAUCGGCCACAUUGGGACUGAGACACGGCCCAA
Molecule: ribosomal RNA, 328 nt
Filed under: uncultured bacterium
Lineage: Bacteria
Description: bacterial SSU rRNA
Rfam family: Bacterial small subunit ribosomal RNA
Source: RNAcentral